This 173-nucleotide ribosomal RNA is filed under the name uncultured bacterium. RNAcentral describes it as "partial 16S ribosomal RNA". It matches the Rfam family "Bacterial small subunit ribosomal RNA", at positions 1320 to 1500 of the family's 1533-position model. The record is from RNAcentral.
GUGAAGCUGGAUUCGCUAGUAAUCGCGCAUCAGCCAUGGCGCGGUGAAUACGUUCCCGGGCCUUGUACACACCGCCCGUCAAGCCAUGGAAGCCGGGAGUGCCUGAAGUAUGCAACCGCAAGGAGCGUCCUAAGGUAAAACCGGUGACUGGGGCUAAGUCGUAACAAGGUAGC